RNAcentral lists this ribosomal RNA (460 nucleotides) under uncultured bacterium. Its description in RNAcentral is "partial 16S ribosomal RNA". It matches the Rfam family "Bacterial small subunit ribosomal RNA", at positions 338 to 795 of the family's 1533-position model. The record is from RNAcentral.
CCUACGGGAGGCAGCAGUGAGGAAUAUUGGUCAAUGGGCGCAAGCCUGAACCAGCCAAGUCGCGUGAGGGAUGACGGUCCUAUGGAUUGUAAACCUCUUUUGUCGGGGAGCAAGGCCCGCCACGUGUGGCGGGAAGGAGAGUACCCGCAGAAAAAGCAUCGGCUAACUCCGUGCCAGCAGCCGCGGUAAUACGGAGGAUGCGAGCGUUAUCCGGAUUUAUUGGGUUUAAAGGGUGCGUAGGCGGAAGGUUAAGUCAGCGGUAAAAUGUCGGGGCUCAACACCGGCCUGCCGUUGAAACUGGUCUUCUUGAGUGAGCGAGAAGUAUGCGGAAUGCGUGGUGUAGCGGUGAAAUGCAUAGAUAUCACGCAGAACUCCGAUUGCGAAGGCAGCAUACCGGCGCUCAACUGACGCUGAGGCACGAAAGCGUGGGGAUCGAACAGGAUUAGAUACCCCAGUAGUC